RNAcentral lists this ribosomal RNA (1540 nucleotides) under uncultured Shigella sp. Its description in RNAcentral is "16S ribosomal RNA". It matches the Rfam family "Bacterial small subunit ribosomal RNA". The record is from RNAcentral. Lineage: Bacteria; Pseudomonadati; Pseudomonadota; Gammaproteobacteria; Enterobacterales; Enterobacteriaceae.
UUAGAGUUUGAUCCUGGCUCAGAUUGAAACGCUGGCGGCAGGCCUAACACAUGCAAGUCGAACGGUAACAGGAAGCAGCUUGCUGCUUCGCUGACGAGUGGCGGACGGGUGAGUAAUGUCUGGGAAGCUGCCUGAUGGAGGGGGAUAACUACUGGAAACGGUAGCUAAUACCGCAUAAUGUCGCAAGACCAAAGAGGGGGACCUUCGGGCCUCUUGCCAUCGGAUGUGCCCAGAUGGGAUUAGCUUGUUGGUGGGGUAACGGCUCACCAAGGCGACGAUCCCUAGCUGGUCUGAGAGGAUGACCAGCCACACUGGUACUGAGACACGGUCCAGACUCCUACGGGAGGCAGCAGUGGGGAAUAUUGCACAAUGGGCGCAAGCCUGAUGCAGCCAUGCCGCGUGUAUGAAGAAGGCCUUCGGGUUGUAAAGUACUUUCAGCGGGGAGGAAGGGAGUAAAGUUAAUACCUUUGCUCAUUGACGUUACCCGCAGAAGAAGCACCGGCUAACUCCGUGCCAGCAGCCGCGGUAAUACGGAGGGUGCAAGCGUUAAUCGGAAUUACUGGGCGUAAAGCGCACGCAGGCGGUUUGUUAAGUCAGAUGUGAAAUCCCCGGGCUCAACCUGGGAACUGCAUCUGAUACUGGCAAGCUUGAGUCUCGUAGAGGGGGGUAGAAUUUCCAGGUGUAGCGGUGAAAUGCGUAGAGAUCUGGAGGAAUACCCGGUGGCGAAGGCGGCCCCCUGGACGAAGACUGACGCUCAGGUGCGAAAGCGUGGGGAGCAAACAGGAUUAGAUACCCUGGUAGUCCACGCCGUAAACGAUGUCGACUUGGAGGUUGUGCCCUUGAGGCGUGGCUUCCGGAGCUAACGCGUUAAGUCGACCGCCUGGGGAGUACGGCCGCAAGGUUAAAACUCAAAUGAAUUGACGGGGGCCCGCACAAGCGGUGGAGCAUGUGGUUUAAUUCGAUGCAACGCGAAGAACCUUACCUGGUCUUGACAUCCACGGAAGUUUUCAGAGAUGAGAAUGUGCCUUCGGGAACCGUGAGACAGGUGCUGCAUGGCUGUCGUCAGCUCGUGUUGUGAAAUGUUGGGUUAAGUCCCGCAACGAGCGCAACCCUUAUCCUUUGUUGCCAGCGGUCCGGCCGGGAACUCAAAGGAGACUGCCAGUGAUAAACUGGAGGAAGGUGGGGAUGACGUCAAGUCAUCAUGGCCCUUACGACCAGGGCUACACACGUGCUACGAUGGCGCAUACAAAGAGAAGCGACCUCGCGAGAGCAAGCGGACCUCAUAAAGUGCGUCGUAGUCCGGAUUGGAGUCUGCAACUCGACUCCAUGAAGUCGGAAUCGCUAGUAAUCGUGGAUCAGAAUGCCACGGUGAAUACGUUCCCGGGCCUUGUACACACCGCCCGUCACACCAUGGGAGUGGGUUGCAAAAGAAGUAGGUAGCUUAACCUUCGGGAGGGCGCUUACCACUUUGUGAUUCAUGACUGGGGUGAAGUCGUAACAAGGUAACCGUAGGGGAACCUGCGGCAGGAUCACCUCCUUA